CUGUGCCAGCUGCUUGCAAUACAACGCACUUCUUCUUGCCCAUCCUUGUGUAGACAUGUUUGCUUAUUGUAUUUUCUUUUCAAUGAAGAGGUCGCAUGUGUGACAUAUGUGUGACAUAUGUGUACAGAUAUGUCUUCUCAGCUCUUCGGAGAGGUGUUGUCUCCAUCUCUUUUUCUGCCCAGCACUUGUGGAUCUUAGUUCUAGCAGACACCUCAAAGCAUUUUGCAGGAAGAUUAUUCACAUCGACCAGAGGAAGAUCAGCACCAGACGCUUCCUCUAUUAAUUUUUUUUAAUGAGUUACUUUUUUCCUACUUGUAUCCAUCUUUUUGCUAUGCCCCAGUGACACUGUUGAAACUUGUUAUUGAUGGUUAUGAAAGGAGAGAUCUCUUGGUUAAUUUUUCCUAAGGUGCUGUCUAAGAUUCUUUUUUCUGUUUUCGCAGUGUCUCAAAGCUGAAGAUAUGGCUAAUGCUGUCAUAUAUGUCCUCAGUGCCCCACCUCAUGUACAGAUUGGAGAUAUACAGAUGAGGCCCACGGAGCAGAUAUCAUAGCAAAUGAAGAGGACCGUGAGCAGCACCAUGAAUCCACUCCACUUGGAACCCUCUGGCAAUGUAGGGGUUUCGUCAGCUGGCUAGCAACAAUUUAUUCAAGUACCGAGGAUCGUGUUUGAAGAAUUAUUUUUCUCUCCCUCUCUCUCAGCUGGUGCUGGUACGGAGCCAGUUUUAAAAAAUAUAUAUAUAGUAGUGGGUCUCUUUCUCCCCUACUCCUUUUGGAAACUGCAUAAGAGUAAAAUGUGUUUGAAAAUAAUGCAGGGAAGUGGUUUGUGGAAGAUUGUCUCCAGACUGGUUUAUUCUUCUUUUUGCUUUCUUUUCAAGGUUUGUUUGAUCUUAUUUGAUGUCUGGACAUAGAUGAAGUGGCACAAGGUGUUUGCCAGCUUCCAUGUGCUUAGGGUUUGAGAUUUCCAGUGGAUGUCAUCCAUUUAAUUUUUACGUUUCUUCUCAUCAUUUUGAUGCUUAUUUGGUAACGAUGGAUGUGAUAUUUUCUUCUCUCAUAUCCCACUGCCCUAAAGCCAGUGUACAAACUCACCCUGCCUCCCAAAACCCUCCUUUUGUGUUCAUAUGAAUUGUGCCUGCCAAGUUUGAGGAGGUAUAUCUGUGUGUGCUUGCUGUUUCUUUCUUUCUAGGUAAGUAGGUAAAUAGUUUUGGGAAAAGUACCUGUAUUUUUGCAGGUUAGAAUGAUCUUCUAAGUGGCAUAGGUACAGUAAGAGUGAGUUGUUUGGUAUUUUUAAUAAAAAUUAAAUGUGCUGUCUUGUGACCACCUUUGUGGUAUCAUCCUUGGUAUCAUCUCCCAGCACUCUUGUUGGUUUUUUGUAUGUUUGAUAUUUGCAUGCAUUGACGCUUUUUGGAAGUACUGAUCAGUCUUCAAAAGAUGUAUGAUGCUGUUUAAAUGCUGAUCACUCUUAAGUUGGUAAUAUUGGAAUUUUGUUUAUAUGCAGAGAUACAAACUCAGAGAGAGAGAGAGUGAAAUGAACCAUGCUGAAGCUGUCCGAAGUGAAAAGAUGUUAGUAGGGGCAUUUGCCUACAGAGCAGUAGGUAAAAGGUCUGCUUUACAUCUGCUGGUUCUACGCCAGUGUGGCCCAGUUGUUUUGCUCUGGGUUUACUCUAACUCGAGGGAGGGGGGAGUUGGCAGCAUAGCUGGUACUUGCACAGCUGGAGACCACUUGAGUUGUUUUAUUUACUUUUAUAGUGUGGCAGAAACAUAUCUGCAUGUAGCCCAACUUGAUUUGGAGCUGUUAACGUACGUGUUGCCUUAAGACUGCAGAGUCUCUCCUGCUGUGCUUUGAAUUUCCUGUAGAACCUUGGCAGGUGAACACUUUGUUGUAGGUGGAGCAGGUAUGAUCAGUUGAUCUGAGUGGAGGACUGAGAACCAGAGAAACUUGGUUUGGACUGUUUUGCUUAUGCCAGUGUAGCUCUGUGGGAGUUAAUUUGUGUUAAAACUCCAUAAGGGAGACCAGAACCGGGCCAACACAUCACGAAUUUCAACUCCCUAUAUAACCUUGGGCAAGUUGCUUUACCUCUCUGCCUCAGUUGACCCAUCUGUAAAAUGGGGAUAAUAAUACUUACCUACCUCACAGGGGUGUUGUGAGGACUCGCAAGCUGUUUUGUAAAGCACUUUGAAUAUGAGAAGCGCUAUGUAAGUGCAGAGUGUUGAUAUGAAGUAUUAUUAUUAAAUCUUGUGAUACAUAGAAUUCCUUGUGCCAAAGGUGAGCAAGCAUAGAAGGCUACAAGGGGGAAAGUGGUAAAGCAUUCCCUCGUAAUGGUAAAAACAAAGGCAAUUUGGCCCCUUUUUUUUCCUCUUUAUAAAUACACUCUCAUGGUGUGUUCUGUCCCUCAUCUGUCACCAGUUUCUGCUAGCAAGUACACGUAACCUUGUCUCUGGAUUUGGCCUUUUAAUUUACUGUGAGUGAAAUUCGUGCCCGUGGCAAAGUCUUGCACUACUCUGAUGUGCUGCCCUCCUCUGCUUAGCUGAGGCAGUGGCUCUGUGUAGGUUCUUGGUACAGAGCUGACUUUCACCAGCAGUGUUGAGUUAGAUCGUGUCCCGCAUGGAGCAGCCAGGCCAGGUCUGCACACAGCCAGUGAUGCUCCGUGCAGCAGAGAAAGCCUGUGCUUGCUGGAAAAGCUCUUCAGCCUCCAUGCUGCUGUGGUCCUUGAUCCAGAGGCGUUUUGCUAAGGAAGGUCCAAGCACAGUUGUGCUUUCUAUAACCCCCCUGUGAUGUUCAGCUGUACUUAAUAUGAAAACUCGGGGUGUUUUCCAUAGGUUUUCUUUCAGGGGAGAUUGUUUAAAUUCAACAGGUGCAGUGUGCACCAUUUUUUAAAAAGAGAAGACAGCUGAACUAGAAGUUGAGAGCCAAAACAGAAAGAGUUAAGAAAUUAGGAACUUCAGAGCAUUAAAAAAAAAUAGGCAAGUCUGUGGGAAGCACUAGUGAAAUAUCUGAAUUGGUGGCUGUAACUGUGUGCGAAAUUCAACAGCUGUUGAAAUGCAUGGCUGAGACAGGAGCUGGCUUAUCUUUCUGCUCUGCAGAUGUAAGGCCUUGAGAAGCGGCCAGUGUGGACAGUCACUCCUUGCAAACGCAGCUUGGCUGACCUGCAGCCCUGGAAGUGUUUUUUCUCCAUGAGUAUUUGUAAUAUUUGCACAUCUUUAAAACAUCUUGUCCUUGAAAUGAUAUCUAUUAUGUUUUUCCAUUUCAACUGAGAUUUUGAGCGAUGAUUUCUGCUGCCAGAUGACUUCCUGCCUUUGGCUGCUUUCCCAUGUGAAGUGCAGCCCACAGAGGGGUUUGGCACAGGGUGCUCAGCCUUUCUGCCUCAUGUAACCUGGUGGCACCUUGAGCCUUAUUCCUGGGUUGGGAUGAGAUUGGCAAUGUGACCGCGAGGCAUUCAGAAACCCUAGACAGGAGAGUGACCUGUGUAAUUUAUCAGUAGGCUUCUAAUUGUGAACUAGAAAAUAAAGAAUAAAAAGAGAGGCACAAUGUGGUUCUUUUGUUGUACGUAGUAGUUUGUGUUAAAACAUAACAUCCUUUUUACUGUUCACAGCUAAAUCUAUCUUUUGUGAAGAGUUCAAACAGAAACAUGUGAAUUUGGUUCCUCACGGGGAAAAAAUUGCAAUUGCUUUCUAGAGCAGAAUAGCAUCCAGUUGUCUUGUCUCAUGGAUAACCUGUGGAGGUUGGACUCGCCCAUCCCUGCUCAAAUGAAGCUGCGCUCCGUGGGGGUUUGCUGAAAUCCUACCUGGGGAUUUCAGCUGGGUUUGGCUAAAACUAUGCAAGGGAUGAGCCAGUACUGCUGUGCAGACCUGGGUAUUGAACUCUUUCAAUCUCCUGCACUCAUUUGAAGUGGGAUGGAUUAUUGCUGUUGUUAAAUGAAGGCAUUUUUACUUUCCGGUCCUAUUUCAGGUUGUCCAAGUACAGAGGCUCAGGUUUGCUGUCAUUAAAACACAAUGUUUUUGCAAAUAAGUAGUGAGUAGCUGACUCGGCUGCCUUGCUGGAUUUGAGGCAGGUGUUUUGGAUACCUUGUAAAUAGGUAGAGAGCAUUUGUGGAAUUAAAAGCAUGUUUGUUUUUUUCUAAUCUUGUGCUUUCCUUGUUUUUCCUAUGUAAUAAACGUUAUGAAUUGUGUUAAAAUUGCUGCACUUCUAGGAGAUGUUAUGUGGCAGUCUGUGAGCACUGGUGACGGAUCUCGGCUCUCAUUUUGGGUGGGAGGAACCAUGGACACAGCUGGCUCUGGUAGGCAGCAGGAAAAGAUGAUUUUACUCAAGAAAUCUCAAUCUGUGUAAACAAUUCCAUAUUUUUGAAGGCUGUUGGUGCUUCCGAGUAGAAGACUGAAACACUUCUCUCUGCAAAAUCCUUCUAGAAGAGAUUGUUGUGGAACAAUUGCCUUUUGAACGUUAAUGUGAGGGGGAAAUGUGUGGAAUAAAACCUCUGCAGCCCAAAAGCUGCACAGGAGGUGGCUUUGUACCCGCUGACCUAGUUCCCUGGUGGCCAGGCUCUCGUCUCCUCAUUUAUGAAGGGUGGAUUUGAAGUGCUCUGCCACUGGAGCAGCAUUUUGGUUUGAAGUUUUGGUGACCGUGAACUGGGGUGAGACAACGAGGGGCUCAUCUCAUGCACUCAGGAGCCCCUUCCUGGAAUGCCAGGGGAAGCAAGUCAAAAUGCGUAUUUCCAGGUGAUUUGAUGCUGUUGGGACAGUUUCUGUUGGCUGUAGGCCCACCUCAGCCUAUCCAUUUACCCCCAUCCAGCAGCUGGGCUGCUGUCGUGAAGCACGGCGGUGCCACGUUAACCGGGGUCCCAACACCCCGCAUCCUCCGAGACGCCCUCGUGAGGCGCUUUCCUAUUUACUGAAGGUUUUGAUUGGGGCGGGGGGGGUAUGAGCCUGCGCACCUCCGACCGGCAGGUGGCGCUGUGGUGCAGGGCGCCGCUCUGGCCGGCCGGAAGUGCCGCGGUGCACGUGGCUGUAGGAGAGGGCGGGGUCACUUGUGACUGCGGCGCCUCCUCAGAUGCUCGCGCGCUCCGCCACAGGGGAAGUCCGGGCUGUGCUCACGUGUGUGGCCGGGCCCUGUGCGGGGCUGGAUCUAGUGUGUGGGUCUCUCUCUCCCCCCUUUCUCCUCCCCCUUCCCCGGCUGGUACGAGGAGACUCUUUCCCGUGUGGGUAGCUAUGGAGCAGGCGCUCAGGUCCCUCGCCCGCAGGGCCGUGGGUCUGCCGUCCGCCGCCUGUAGCCGGUGCUUUGCGGCGGGCCCCACGCGGGACAAACGGCCCUCGCGGUUGUGCCAGGCUGCGGCCCGAGGCGGGGACGGCGCCCGCACCUUCCGUGGGGACCUCCACGCUGCGCGGGAGGGCUGGGGCUCGCCGGGGCGUGAGGCCUCGAAGGGCAGGAGGAGGCCGGAGGGAAGGCCUCUGCCCAUCGAGAGGACGAGGGGGACCGAGAUCCUGUUCGGAGUGGCGCCGUGCUCCAUGGCCCUGUCCCAGGCCCGGAGGGACCUGUUCAGGCUGUUCCUCAAGCGGAGCGGCGGCCCUCAGCGUCUCAUCACCAGCGAGUUCGUGCUGCAGGCCGCGGCCCGCGGGGUCCCCGUGCUCCACGUCGGGAGGAGGGAGCUGGAUGUGCUGUGCGGGGGCCGCGUCCACCAGGGAGUGUGCUUGGAAGCCACCCCGCUCCGCUUCAAGAGUCUGGAGGAGGCUGAGGAGCCCGGUUUGGGGAAUGGAGAGAGCCUGAACCGACGGCUGCUGUGGCUGGUCCUGGAGCAGAUCCAGGACCCCAUGAACCUGGGGGCUGUGCUGCGCUCUGCAUACUUCUUAGGGGUGGACAGAGUGGUGACGAGCCAGAGGAACAGCUGUCCCUUGACUCCAACAGUGAGCAAAGCAAGUUCUGGAGCUAUGGAAGUCUUCGAUGUCUACAGCACAGAUGAUCUCCGGAGCUUUUUGAAGGCUAAAGCUGCAGAAGGCUGGGAAGUUGUGGGAACAGUGAGCCAGUCUGAAGCUGUGGAAAAUGUUCCUGUCAUCAGCUGCUCGGAAUUUCAGUGGAAUAAACCCAUUAUUUUAGUAAUAGGUAGUGAAGGUGACGGCCUUUCCCUGGAGACGCAGCUGCUGUGCCAUCGCAUGCUGGUCAUCCCCCCCGGCAGGGCCCUGCACCCGGGCAUCGAGUCGCUGAAUGUCUCCGUGGCCACUGGCAUUCUCCUGCACUCCAUCUGCAGCCAAAAGCUGAGGCAUGGUGAUUGAUUUUUAUCCUGGCACGUGGUGGAAGUCACCCAGCCCAGAUCUUUGAUGGCAAGAAGCUGCUUGGUGUUCCGUGGCUGUGUUCAGUAUGGAUAUGGAAGUGCUCCUUCCAGGCUCUGCACCAUCUCUGCAACUUACAGGUACUUAAAUAUGAGGAGACCCUUCAUUAAGUUUGCUUGUGUCUGGGAAAACCACGUGCCCUCCGACCACGCUCAGCCAUGGCAGCUCACACCCCGACAGACAGGCAGAAGCUGCAACAUCAGCAGUGUUUCUCCUGCGCUCCACAAGUCUUAGCUCAGCUGUUUUCUCUGGAGAUCCAAAAUGUGGCCGCUGCAGAUCCUGGCAGUGCCACGCUCCAUGCCGAGCUGCGGGUCCUGCUGCGAGGCCGAUGUGUUGGGUAGCAGCAGCUCUCCUUAGCAGUCCUUAGCGCUGCCAUCAGCUGGUGGCACAGAGGGUCCAGAGCCCCGCGGGAAAUGCUCUUGACCAUCUGCUGCUGCUCUAAGAAACGAGUGUUGGAGAUUGUUUACUACCAGAAAUAUCAGAGGUAUCUGGGAUAGAUCACAGCAGAGUGUAAGGGCAGAGCACAGCCACUUGCAUAAAGCCAUGCCACAGUCACCACGAGCCUGGAGUUGGAAGCCGCUCAGUCAGCAGCAGCCUCCUCCCGUGGCGCUGGGAGCCUGCAGCACGCACACCGAGCCCCGGAGCGGUAGGAAAUACGUGGAUGGACACAGGGAUUUUGCUAUGGCCAAGCAGUAGGGACCAUUUGUGUGAUGCGGCUCAUCUUAAGGGACAGGGUACAGAGGAGCGAUGAAACGGGCUCCACGUGCUGGGGAAGCUGCCAGUGGGCGAGGAAAACUGCUCAGUGGAUGUCAACCAGAACCAACCCUGGGAAUCAGUUCCUUGCUCAGUGGCCUCUGCUGUGGAGGCAGCAAAGCAGAGGGCCACCUCGCUGCAGUCCCCUGUAGGCAAUUCUGCUGUAAGUUCAUUUAGGUGAGCUGUCUUUAGUUCCUUGCUCCGCUCGCUGUAAUUGCUUCUUCAGAGUAAUGCUACACCGCAGGCGCGGGGCUGCCGCCUGGCUGGCCUUCUACGGACAGAUGAAGGAAGGCAAGGCUGAAGUCAUCAGCAGAAGGUUCUGGAAACAUUCCCAGUCCUUGGCGUAUUCAUCAGGAUUGUUACAAUUCUGCUGCCGCAAAGAAGGAAGUAUCUUGUUCUCCUGUUAUUUAUUAGCAUGUGCUGUAGUGUGAGGGACCGUGCUGGGGAGGGGAGCCCUGCUGUGAGGGGCACUGGAUAAACACAGCCAAAAUGACAGUGACAGUCCUCACUGCAGAGCGUUAGCAAUUCAGACAGCCACGUCAGUCAGAGAAUCUGAGAGAUGGGAUGUAACACAAGCAAAGGGAGGAAUGUGACAGCUGGCAAACGCCGAGUGAGUUGCGUGAUUUUUUGUAGGUGUGUUCAUUCUUGAAGUACCUUGAAGGAAAUGCAAAUGACAUGUAUCCCGGGUAAGUCUAUGUGCAAGCAAGGCCUGUAGGAGCUUCAGGUUAGAGAUGUAGAAACUUCUUUAUCUUGUAGAAAGUGCUACCAAGAGGGCUUUUUGAAAAUUUGAGAAAAUCAUUGGAGGCAGGCCUGUUUUUGCCUAAGAGCACGGCAGGAUAGAUCACGGAGUCUGAGGAGCAGGGAGUCUUGUGCGAUUCUAUUAAUGAAAAGCAGAAGGAAGUAGUAGAACAGAAGCAGUGGAGCAAAUCCGAAAGUAAAUGCCCCACCAAACAAGCAAAAAUCUCACCGAACAAAAGCUGAUGAAUUUCCGAGGUAAAAUUUUUUGGCAGUCAGAAUGGGCUGAUGUUUCCUAAAGCAACCAAUUUAAUCCCUCCGUUCUGCAAAGGCAGUGUCAAACAAAAGAAAUCUGCUAAAUAUUUUCUAUUAGCCUGAAAUUUUGCCGUAGAGAAAAUGAUAACAUGGAAGGAAUUUCCUUGGGAAAGAAAAGAGAAAAGGGCGCUGCAGAAUUAUUUUAGUUUAGUCUGCAAUGCUAAAAAUGAAUUCUGGGGCAGGACAAUGAACUCAUACACGAAUAUUAAUUCUGCUUCCAAUCAUCCGAGGAGUUCAGUCACUGAAGCCCAUUCAUAGUCUGCCUGGUUCCGCAGGCUCAGAGGGAUGCUCCAAAAAAACUUCUUUGAAAAUCCCAAUCUAAACACAUUUGUGUCCAGCUUUAUAAAGAUCCUUCCGUGUGGCUGCAAAGAAUAAGUAAUUUCUAUCUGCAACACGUUAUGAAGUCCUCAGGAAGUAGGCACUAGGGCAGCGUAAAAUGGUUAUUUUAGCAGUAUCUUCUCUUACAAUUGCUUGUUCUCCAUCUCCACGGAGGGUGGCUGGCAGCACAGCGCCGCGGUGAUUUAAGCUCGCCAGGCUCCGGUGCUGGCUCUCAUGUGAAGUGCCUGAGCUGCUGUGCAGGACUUGGCCAUAAACUGCACAGCCCAAGGAAGAUGUCGCUUGUUUUCUAGGACAGGAUGAAAUCACCCCGUGUAUGUCCUCUGUCUAUUGCCUCUCCGGGCAGGGAAAACAUAAAUGCCUUUCCCAUCGUUUUAUUUAUUGCCUUUCUCUGUUUCCUGGGAAAAGACUAUUUUUAUUUUUUUAGCACUUUUGUGUGUGCGUGUGUGUCUGUGUGGGGUAAGCGUGUGUGUGUGUGUGUUUAGGAGGUUAAAAAAAAUUUCUUGCUGUCAGCAAGUGAUGUUACAAACCUGCUCUGACAAGGCUGGUUGUAUAUUUACAGUUGGUGAGAGCGAAGGCUUCAUCAAUCUUCACGCUUUGAAAGGGACAGGCCCGCUCCCAUGAGCACCUGCUCCGGGAGAACAGCUGAACUGUGACUUUCCAGGGAGCUAGCUGUAAAUUUUAGCCAUUCCCCCCGCAGCCCACGCAUGCUUGAGCUCUUUAACCUUCCCAGGCUGGCAGGAGUCCCAGCAAUCAGUUUAGUGCAAAGACUGGGGUUCUUUUUAAUUAACCUUUUGUUUCCCGCUGCAGGUGUUUCAAAGUUUCUUAAUGUUAAAAAGGAAGAGGAAAAAAACUGUUUGCAGAGGUGCAUCCACUCUCUUCCACUCUUGCUAUGCUCGGUGAUCAAAUGGGACCAGCCUUUCUCAUGUUUCUGCUCCUCAUUUGCCUCCUGCACGUAAGAUUAUAACAACAUCUUCUGAGAACCUCUGUAGGCAUCUACACAAAGAAUUCCCGUGAGCGUGUUUCAGUUUUGUCCUGCAAGGUCACACUUCCAUCCUUUGUGAGGCACCUGCUUUCCCGACCCGCUCCGCUUUCUCCAGGCAACUUUCUCUGGACACCUGACUCCCUGGCUCUGCCACCCUUUGGAUUCUCCCAUCAUAAGCAGCGUGUUGCGUUGCCUGCCUGGGAGCUCCUGCAGCCCUGCCUGUGUGGAGGAACAAGGAUGUGAUAAUAUUGGGUCCUGAAACUGCAAAUGCAGAACGAACCGAGAAGUAAAAGAAUUGACAAGACAAGCAGUGGUGGGAAAUGGAGGGAAGACUGUGAAAAAGGUUAUAAUAAAUAAUAAGAAAUGUUGCAUGGGCCAAAGGAAUAAUAGAUCAGCGAUGGAAAGACUCUAAAAGCUGCUGAGGGUUAUUUAUUGAUGGACAUUGUUUAAAAAAAAAAAAAAUCAGUGACAGUUUUCCUUCGUGUUCACAAAGGCAGAUGGCAGGGCAGGUGCCAGAAUGAAAGAUAAAUUUCCUUUUGCAUAAAGAAGAAAUAUUGAAGGAAACUGAGCAGAGGUGAUGGAGAAAUUAGAGCGUUGAAAGACCCUGAAAGCAUGUGGUCCAUGUCAACCCUCUCUCAGGAUUUUCAGCUGAGUCAGCAGAAAGCAGGAAAAACUGUUGCGGGAAAUGAGAACCUCUUUGAAGACCAGUAAUGGAGAGGUUCCUGCAAGUGUCAUGUCCGGAGGCCUGAGGAAAGCUUUCCAGGAAUUCAAAUUGGUGGUACAGAAGGUACCUGGCAUGGCUGAGCGGCCAAUGUGUGUCUUAAUCUGGGACUGCAGUAGAGAAAUAGUUAGGAGAAGUUAUGAAUUUAAUUAAGGGAAACCGCCAAAGAUUCAGAAAUUGGAUGCUGUGCCGAUAACGGGAGAAGAAAACUGACAGAAGGUUUCUGAGGAGUUUGUGCAGAUCAUGAGCCAGGGAGAGCCAAGAGAAAGAACUUGUGCAUCAGCAGCAAAGGUUGGGUGUAACACAGCCAAGAAGCGUAAUCUGGAGUGGAAGUGAUGAGUGUGGGACGUGGAAGUGCCUGGUCGAGCUUGGAGCUGGUGGUACACACACCGAGCUGCUGUGAAGAUGCACUGGUUUCUGUUGCCCUGGUUGUGAGCAGGGAGGUUGGAGGGACUGUGUGCAACCAGGUGAGUGGUUACAGAGUGAAUGUAACUGAGGGAAGUGCAGGAGAGACACGAGGAGGGGAACAAACGCUGCAGGACCUGAGAGCACCUGGCCUGGCUGGGGAGCCAGCAGGGAGGGUCCACCCCAAGGCCGGCAGCUGUGCUCCUGCAACAAGUGCCAGGACGUUCUAAUUAGCAGCCCUCUAAUCAUCCCUGCAGCAGGUGAGUGCAAAUUAAAUGGCUGUCGUCAAACAUGGUGACUCAGACUUGCCAAUGGCAAACCAGGAGGAAAACUGUUGAUCGGAAAGUGGAAUUCGUCUUUGGGGGGAAACAGCAUCAUUUUGGGUCCAUUCAUCUGGUAUCCAAACAGCAUUAAAUCACUCAUUAUCAUCGUGCUCCCAGUCAGCAGUUAAUGGGGACUACCAGGAAGGAUCCGGGGGCUUUGCUCACUGCAUCUCCUCGUGUCUUUGUUUCAGGAAAGCCGCCUGCCCUUCUACAGCAGGGGAACGUGGCAGCCUGGACCCACGUUUGCACACUCGGCUGCAGCCCACAAACCCCACCCUGUUGGAUGAAACCCCUCAGAAAGUGCCAUGAGGUGUUGGCCAUCACGGGGGGCACGUGGGGGCCUUCCUCAGAGCUCAGCGGGGGGUCUGCGGUGUUUAAAAAAAAAAAAAAAA
This is an RNA transcript of Numida meleagris (helmeted guineafowl), 11277 nucleotides long. It is a transcript of the gene named dehydrogenase/reductase 11, with no coding region annotated. The record is from RefSeq and is a predicted model, not a curated record. Lineage: Eukaryota; Metazoa; Chordata; Aves; Galliformes; Numididae. The transcript is spliced from 14 exons.